Molecule: long non-coding RNA, 1344 nt
Organism: Heterocephalus glaber (naked mole-rat)
Lineage: Eukaryota; Metazoa; Chordata; Mammalia; Rodentia; Bathyergidae
Source: Ensembl
CAGCCGGGCGGUUCCCGCGAGUCUGCGAGGAGGAGGCAGCGUGCGAGCCGAGCCGGGCGCGCAAGGAGGCGGCGCGCGAGGUAAGCGGACGCGCGGGGAGCCGGCGGCGCGCGCCGAAUGAGGCCGGGCGCGCGCGGGGGGACCCGGCACGAAGAGGAAGGAGCGCGGUGGGGAGUUGGGAGCGCGGGGCUCCCCCGGGACCCCCCGCAGCUCCGACGGGGUUUCAGUUGACUCGGACUGCACCGCAGCGAGAGUCCGUUAGGAGUCUCCGCCUGGGCGCGCAGCUGGCCGACCAUCCCGGCCCGCCUCCCCCUCGCUCCCACCAGGAAGGGCAGCCGGGCGAGAGCCAGUGACCUCUCCUCCCGCCAGAGCCCGACGGGCGCCCGGCGGUGCUGCGAGCUCUUCCCACCCCUUCCCUGCCCCGCCCACCCCUUCGCCUUCCUGAUUGGCGAGAAACCUACAACAGGAACAGGAGUCCCAGCCUUCCAGUGGCUGGACCAGACGCCCUUCAGACUCACCCCGCCUCCGUCCCGCCCCCUCCCCCUGGUUGGCACAACCUCUAAUCACUCUCUAUCGUCUCCCCUAACGUUGCUUUGGAGAACUGGCACUCAAAGCUCACCCUCCCGCCUCCGGAAAGCGAACUUUAUUUUUAUUGGCGAAAGCACACCUUCCUGUGCACCUGAUUGGGCAAGGAGGAGGCUAAUCGGCACGCCUCUUACCUAUUAUCACUCUCCCUUUACGGAUUUAAGAAAACCGCAAAGUCUUUCCUACUUUGCCUUCCAAGCGCCUUUCUCUUUAAAUGUUGCUAAAAGUAGAAGACAAUUUCGCAGCCUGUAUUAAGGGAAGCGGAAAAGAAGAAAGAGAAAGAUUAAAAAUGCUCUCCAGAUGGGUAGUACAUCGGAGCUGGGUCUGGCAUCCUGCGGAUCCUAAUCCUGUGGUCUGGUGCAUGGAGUGGUUACGUUGAGCUAAAGCACCUGAAAUUCUAAUAUUGACUCCUGAGAUCUACUCACAAGCUUUCACUCACCGUUCUCUCCAUUCACACCCUUAGUUUCUUUGGCAUUUCUCCACCCAGAAGAGCUUUAAUAAAGGCGUCUGCGAACCUGAAGCUUCCCUUGUUUAUCUCGCGGUCGUUCAUUUAGAAAAGCAUCUAAGCCUUUCCAUUAAAAGUUCCGUUUAGUCACGUCCUUUGCGUCUCUCUGGCGUUUGCACAAGAGGAAUAAGGACACCCCAAGAUUAACCCAAGCAGGCACCAGAAAGCUAUUCUUUUCACUUCUCAGGAACAAACACGGCUCCCCCGAGGAAGACAAACCGUGGCCCUGUGCAUCAGAAAGAGAUUACAGUUGA